Danio rerio (zebrafish) is the source of this 410-nucleotide non-coding RNA. The record is from Ensembl. Lineage: Eukaryota; Metazoa; Chordata; Actinopteri; Cypriniformes; Danionidae.
GAAUAAUUUAGAGAAAUUUGAGGGGUUUUUUUAUUUAAGUUUUAGGGGUUUUUUUUGUGACAUCAAUAUCCAAGCGGUAUGUAGUCCACAGUGUCUUACCUCAAGCUGUGCAUUAUGCAUAACCAGUUAUCUCAUCAUUUAAAGUUGUCACUAUUUGAAAAGUUGACCAGAAGUUUGCCUUUCCUCUAGUGAUUUUCACAGCUUUAAGUUUGCCAUUGUCAAUUUUUCUCUUAACGUUCUCCAUUGUACGUGGCUGGAAAUCAUCACUGGCGCUUCUGGACCUCACGCAUUGGAUCUCAUUAAACUUAAAAAAAAAAAAAUUCUCUAGCAGGUCUGAAGCCCGAUAUGCGUGCUAGCUAUGAUGUGAAAAGUUGCCCCCCCAAGGCCGGAACUAGGGGCAUAAAAUAAAA